Molecule: long non-coding RNA, 9036 nt
Filed under: Marmota monax (woodchuck)
Lineage: Eukaryota; Metazoa; Chordata; Mammalia; Rodentia; Sciuridae
Source: RNAcentral
GUGAAGGAGGGACGUGUUCUGCCCCCCAUCAUCUCUCCCCAGCAGUGUCCUGGGUCUGGCCCCUAGCUACAGCUGGUACCACCAUGGAUUCAGGACCUGUGCCAACCUUGGGCUCACAGCAGGCAGAGCAUGCAAAGACAUCAAGUCCACCAGCAGUACAGCACUGGGGCAGAGAGCAAAUGAAGCUAAGAGACCAAAUGUCCAGCAUGAACCCGCUGGGGGAGGGGCCAGGAUGUAAGCAGUAUAACUCCCAGGAGGCUGUGGGUACCCUUGGCCUAAUGCAGGCAUUAGUGGGUAGGUGGGGUAAAGGGAGGAUUCAUAGGAGCCUCUGGUGAGAAAUGGGGUCUUGAGUUGCUGGCAUAGUGUGCUGGUCUCACCUGGGACACUGGUGAACACCCCUAUACCCCCACACACACACACACACACCAACUGUGUGCUCAGUUGAGUGGUCCCUGGGAAGGCCCCUUUCUUUCUCAUGAUAGCUGCAAAUCUGUGCCUGGUGUUGGGCGGGUGUAGAGCAAUAUGGGCAGGAGAGCUCCUGGGAAAGAGUGCCACAGGGUUCAUAGGGAGCACCGCCUUGAUCAGGGAGGAUGCUGUGGGACCACCAUGCCAAGUAGUGAGAUGGGGCUAGCCUUCUCCACUGCUUCCCUGCAGGACCUCCUCACUUCGGUGGAACUCAGGCACCAAGGAGCGCAUGCUCAUCAAGGUCGCUGACAGGGAGCCCAGCUUCCUCACUCCUCAGGGCAAUGGCUACUCUUCAGAUGGCCAGCCUGGGAGCCGCCCCCGCAGACCCUCUGGCAGCCAGCAUUCGCCCAACCUACAGACAUUCACCCAGGACUCGGAAGGCGCUGUCUUCUUCCCUGAGAGGCGACCUUCGCCCUUCCUGAGAAGGGCUGAACUCUCCGGGAGCUGCUCCCCACUGCUCACGCAGCCUCGAAAGUCCUCCAGUGACUCACAGCCCUCUUCCCCACGCUAUGGCUAUGAGCCCCCUCUCUAUGAGGAGCCCCCUAUGGAGUAUCAGGCCCCCAUCUAUGAUGAGCCCCCCAUGGACGUACAGUUCGAGGCUGGUGGCCCCUACCAGGCUGGCUCCCCACAGAGGUCGCCCAGCCGCAAGCCCCGCCCCUUCUUGCCCGGGGCCAAGCAGGCCCCUGCCUCCCCCUGCCAGCAGCUGGUGCGCACUAAACAGAAGUGCCCUGAGCGCUUCCUGAGCCUGGAGUACAGUCCUGCAGGCAAAGAGUAUGUAAGGCAGCUGGUGUACGUGGAGCAGGCCGGCUCUAGCCCCAAGCUGCAUGCAGGCCCCCGGCACAAAUAUGCUCCCAACCCUGGUGGUGGCUCCUACUCACUGCAGCCCAGCCCUUGCCUGCUGAGGGACCAACGCCUAGGGAUCAGGUCUGGAGACUACAGCACCAUGGAGGGACCCGAGCCCCGGCUGAGCCAACCACCCACACCACUGCCCCCAGCCCAGGAGGACACCAUGUCUUGGUCCAGCCAGCAGGACACCAUGUCUUCCACGGGCUACUCCCCAGGCACACGUAAGAGGAAGAGCAGAAAGCCCUCUCUGUGCCAAACUCCUGGCGCCCCCUCCACGGAUGGCCCAGGGGACCUACUGGGUGAGCAGCCUCUGGCUGAGGAGCGCUCUCCAUGUGGGCCCAGCCUUGCCCAGAUGAAGCGUGCAGAGGCUGAAGUGGACGUAGCACGGGGUAUGGCCGAGCCUUUCCUGGCACAGGCGCAGCUGGCCUGGGAGGCACAGCAGGCCCACUUUCACAUGAAGCAGAGGGGCAGCUGGGACUCCCAGCAGGAUGGCUCUGGCUACGAGAGUGAUGGUGCUGUGCCACUACCCAUGCCCGGACCUGUGGUACGUGCCUUCAGUGAGGAUGAGGCACUGGCGCAGCAGGAUAGCAAGCAUUGGAAGCGGAAUACUUUCGAGAAGCUCGGCUUCCCCCAGAUCCUGCUGGAGAAGAGCGUCUCUGUGCAGACCAACUUGGCCUCACCAGAACCUUACCUCCACCCCUCACAGGUGAGGAGUACUUGGUGGGCAGAUGGGGACCCUGGGCCCAUAAGACCCCCAAGUCCCAGCCUAGAGCCUGGGAUCAGCUGCAGGCAGAAUGGGGCUGGGUGCACCUGGCAUCCACAAGGUGUGUGUGGCACUGAGCGUGUUCAGAGCCUGGCCUCUGAACGUCCAGCACACCACUGGCAGGGAGGGCAUCUUCACGGAACACCCCACUCAGGCCACCCACCACCAGGCAUAGGGCUUCCUGGACCUUGGCCACCAGGGAGUUUCAAGCCUUGCCUACGGGACACAGCAGCUGAGGGCAACUGGCAGCCAGCUCUGGGACUAUUGUACUCCUGGGGAGCUGGGCAGGUGGGGCAUCAGCAUUCUUUGGUGGCUCUGGAACUAUCUCCAAGCACGUCUCCCUCAGGCAGGAAGAGCUGCUAGUGAGGUAGUGACUGGGUGGUUGCCAGACAUCACAGCCAGAGCUGGAGCCCAAGCCCAAGCCCAAGCCCAGCCUGCUGUGUCCUCCCCAUACAGUGCCAGAGCACACAUCAGUCAGUGCCCCACAGAGCCCACGAGUACCUCUGUUCAGCAGCAGGUACCUGAGUGUCCACCUGCAGGUCUUCCCUUCUGGAGAUCACCAGGCAAUUCAGAUUUGAUGGCUCUAAUGUCCUCAUUCCCACUUCUAGCUUCCACCUUUCACACUGGUUGACUAGAGACACAGGCCAAGCCUGAGGGUGACCUGGAAUCUGGUUGGUUUGCUUAGUGGGCCCAGGUUCCAAGGAAGUUAAAGUGAAAAUCUUAAGGCCUCCUGGACAUGUAUGGCAGGCCCACCUUUGCCCUGCUGGGGAAGGCCUCUGUGACCUGUGGGUAGCCAGCUUCCCAGGCCCUUCAGGCUAGUGAGCUCAGAGCCACAUCCAGCCAGACUUUCCAUCCACUGCUCAUAAACUGGUAGGAUGACAGGGCAGAUGGGAGAGGCAACCUUGGGAAACAGUGAGCAGACAGAAAGCUACCUCUAAUGGAAUGGGCAGGUCAAGAGCAGAGCAGAGGGAGAGACCUGCAGAGGCCAGGCCCACUGGGGUCCUGCAGAGAUGGGAGCAGGGCUCGAGAGCCACCCCUGCCUGUCCCUGCCCUCUCUCCCUGGGUACCUGACAGUGCAGCUGUCCUGCUGCCACCCCACCUGGGGUUUUGAAGCUCAGCUUCUUGCUAUGUUAGACUGGCCACGCCACACCUGGCUGGCUCACACCUCUUGGGACUGUGAUCCAAGUGGGCCCAGCUGCCCACUCCAUCCCUACCCCCGAUGGCACAGCCCAUUUGUCCUUCCCAGUCUGAGGACUUAGGAGCCUGUGCCCAGUUUGAGAGCAGCCGGCAGAACCGUAGCGCGAUGCCCAGCUCCAGCUGUGUCUUCCCCACCUUCACGCUGCGCAAGCCCUCCUCAGAGACGGACAUCGAGAACUGGGCCUCCAAGCACUUCAACAAGCACACCCAGGGCCUCUUUCGACGGAAGGUGUCCAUCGCCAACAUGCUGGCCUGGAGCAGUGAGUCCAUCAAGAAGCCCAUGAUUGUGACCAACGACCGGCAUGUGAAGAAAGAGGCCUGUGAGAUCUUCAAGCUGAUCCAGAUGUACAUGGGCGACCGGCGGGCCAAGGCAGACCCACUGCAUGUGGCCCUCGAGAUUGCCACUAAAGGCUGGAGCGUGCAGGGCCUCCGGGAUGAGCUCUACAUCCAGCUGUGCAGGCAGACCACCGAGAACUUCCGCCUCGAGAGCCUGGCCCGUGGCUGGGAGCUCAUGGCCAUCUGCCUGGCCUUCUUCCCGCCCACACCCAAGUUCCACUCCUACCUAGAGGGAUACAUCUACCGGCACAUGGACCCUGUCAAUGACACCAAAGGUAAGACCCAGUGUGCAGGACCCUUGGCACCCCUAGGGUCUGCUGCAACUGAGGUAAGGGCUGUGGAGAGGGCUCCCAGCCAUUCUGGGCAACACCCGCCCAGUCCCCUAUCCUCACACCCCACCAGACCUGGCACCACAUAGGAGUGGUACUUCUAAGAAGAUGCAUGUCCCCUAGGAGACCCCACACCCAGCUUUCAGUGGUUUGUGGGCAUCCUCAGGGAACCCUACCUUGGCUCUGAGAAGAGCCCUAGGCAGCCCUGGCAGAUGAGGGCAUAUGGCCUGCCCUUUGAUGCCUGCCCAGUUUGGCUUCUGUCACCCUGCAGUAUAAGGGCAGCUGCACCGUGAGGCUUAAGCUGUGUAUUCUAGGCAGGGAGGGGCAUGGUGGCCACAGUGCAUCUGCCACAACUCAAUCACAGGCUUCCCACACACAAGUCUGUGGAGAUCAGCUGGUCUCCAGGGCACUAUGAGCUGAGCUGCCCUGAGGGCCAGAGGUUCAGGCCAGCACAGGUGUCCACUUGCUGAUGGCUGCCAGGUGUCAAAUAGAAGGCCCCCAGAUGGGAUGCACUAGGUCUGUCGGGCCCAGGCCGUGGUGUUUCAGCUGGGCAGUCCCCAUGUGAUAAACUAGUGGCUGGCCCAAGCCCUGGGAUGGACAGAGUGGGCAUGGGGCAAGGAUACAGGCAGUCCCAGCUGUAGCAGGCUGUGUCCCACAUGAUGCUCGUGAGCAUCUGUAGGACACAGCCGUAGCAUUGACGGCCAGACACGCAUACUUGUGUUCAGGUACACGUACAUGUACAGAUGCAUCCCUGCCAGGGCGGACAUGUUAGCUCUUCUGGGUUGUCCAGCCUCUGCUGAGGUGGAAACUGUGCUCCCUUCUAGGCCUUGCCCCCAGCUCAGGCAUGGGAAAGGCAGCUCUCAGGCUGCCAUGGGGCCCUCAGUGUGCAUGCAAACUUGAGGGAGGGGGUUCUGGAGAAGGUAUGUCAGGCACAGGAACCACCAGCUCCUCAGACACUUGUAAACAGUUUUGGAAAACAUGCUAUUCCUGCCCAUGUGUGCACCUGCAACACACAUUGCAGCAGAUACAGACUGACCUGGGGCCUGGACUGCACUGGGGCCUCAGGGACCCCAUUCCUUGAUCUUCUUGGACCUCUCUAGGCACUGGUAUAGUCCUGGGGCUUCCUAGGUCACCAUCUUGCCUUCUUGAGAAAGGGCCUUGACAUGCACCUUGACAUGGGAGCUGUAGGAAUGUGUCUGCACUGCUCAGGACAGCACUGGGCCCACAGAUCCGAGAGCCUGCUGAGUGAAAACCAAGUGAGUGGGCAGUAGUUGGCAAACAGUCAGAGGCCUGGGUUCCUUGCUCUGCCUGGGCCAGCUGACCAGCAAGUAUGUGGCUGGGCCGUCCCGCCAUCCAGGGCUUCCCAGAAGAGUUUGUGCUUUAGGCCCCAUGGAGGAGCCCCCAGGAUCUCCCACAUACAAAGGUACGCAUACUUUUCUCUUAGAGUCGCACACCCACAGGGCCCUGUGUUGCACGUCAGAGGGAAGCAGGCUCAGCUUUGAGGCUCCUAUGUAAGGCCCACAAGGUCUCAGAGGACCAUGUGGGCUACAGGGGGAUGGGCUCUGUGUGGUUCUGCUAGCAUUCAAACUGCCCUCACAGCCAAAACCCCAUCUCUAGUACUGGGGACCCCAACCUAGAUUUGCCUGUCCAAGGUUGUACUCCACCCUGAGCCCAGAGAAGAGACUUCUACACACAAGGUGGCCGCCCCUUCUUCAAUAGGCCUCAUGUUCACUCCAGACAGCGCACAGUCCCUGGGAGAUGCCAGUUUCCACAUGUAAGAAAUAUUGGUCAAAAAUGUGGUACUGCUGGGGGUGGUAGUGACACCUAUAAUUCCAGCUACUUAGGUGGCUGAGGCAGGAGAAUCACAAGUUCAAAGCCAGACUCAAUAACUUACUGAGACCCUGUCUCAAAAUAAAAUAAAAAAGGUUGGAAUUGUAGCUCAGUGUAGUAGUGUGUCCCUGGGUUCUAUCGUAGUACUGAGAAUAAAAAUAAAGAAAGAACAUGGGUCCUGGCUGCCUUAUCAGCCCAGAAAGAUGUAGACCAUGCUCUGGAAGACCAACCAGUUGACCACAUAGCACCUAGAAGAAUGAGACCACAGCAGAGGGACCCAUGAUGAGGGAAGUGCUCGGCUUGGCUCCUGGACCUGGCACUGGCCCUGGCCCCGGCCCCGGCCCCGAACCCGAACCACUUGCCUUGGCCUCAGGAAACUUGAUCAACUUGUUUAUCAGCAUUCGUGUGACCUCCACUCUGUGAUCACCAUCCCAGGACCAAGGUACUAUGAGGUAACCCCCAUUUAACCUGUGUCAGGCACUAGGAGGUUCUCCUGGUUGUCCUCAGGAGCCCCUCAGUUAGACUAACCCAGAUGGGGAGGGUGCUUGGCCCUGGAUCAGGAAGCUACAGGAGCCAGGUGUGUGGAACACACCUGUGGUCCCAGCAACCUGGGAAGCUGAGGCAGGAGGAAGGACUAGGCAGGUGGCUCAGUGGUGAAACACCCCUGAUUCAAUUUCCAGUACCCCGCCCCCCAUAAAAAAAAAAUAAGAAAAAGAAAUUGCGGGAGAAGUCCUGCAAAUGCCAUGGGAGACUGAAGCCUGGAGGGAUUCUAGUGCUGCCGAAGCUUGUGCUCUCGGUGAGACUUCUGGCAAAGCACAACAGGAAGUUAGCAAAAGGGCGGAGAUGAUGAAGAUGGUAGUAGAAACCAACACAAGGGAACACAGAACAGUGGCUGAUGAAACAAAAAACUGAUUCUUGGGUAAAUCUACAGCCAAACUGACAAGGACAAAAUGAGAGAAGAAAUGAAUCACCAAAACCAAGAGUGAGAGGUCCUGCCACUGCAGGCCCUGCAGGUGCUGAAGGGGUAGCAAUCAGGUAUAGUGAACCUUUUGCUAAGGAAUUCAAAAUGGACAGAUUCCUCAGGUGACCCAGGCUGCCAGAGGUCACUCAAAGAGAAACAGAAAAGUUAUAUGUCCAGUAAGGAGAUUGCAUUUGUACCUAAAAAUCCAGGCCUAAAUGGCUUCACUGGUGAAUUCUACCAAACACUUUAUUGUUUGUGCAGCAAUUCUGUGGAAUGUCUCCCAGAAAAAUGAAGUGGAGGGCUGGGGUUGUGGCUCAGAGGUACAGCACUCACCUAGCAUGUGUGAGGCACUGGGUUCCAUCUUCAGCACCACAUAAAAAAGAUAUUGUGUCCACCUAUAACUAAAACAUAAAUAUUAAAAAAAAAUGAAGUAGAGAGAAUGUUUCCUGAUUCACUCAUGCUAAAAUUAGAGAAGAACAUUAUAAGAAAGAAUCCCUCAUGAACAAGGAAACAAAAAUUUUAGCAAUAUUUUAUCAGGUUGAGUACAACAGUAUAUAAAGGAGAUAAUAUAUCUUGACCAAGUGAAGUUUAUCCUAGGAAUCGAGGAACGAAAGAUAGGUUUAGCCAGGGGUAGUGGCAUACACUGUCAUUUCAGUGACUCAGGAGAAUCUCACAUUCAAGGUCAGUCUCAGCAAUUUAGCAAGGCUCUGUCUCAAAAUAAAAAAUAAAAAGGACUGGGAAUAUACCUCAGUGGUAGAGCACCUCUGGGUUCAAGGUUCAAGCCCCAGUAUGGGGGGAGGGGAGCAAUCAAUGGAAAAUGGAAACCAUUUUAACAAAGUAAAAAAGAGUAUAUCAUCUCAUAAAAUCCAACAUUCCAUUCUUGAUCAAAACUGAACAAACUUAGAAGAUAAUCUCUUCACCCUGAUUAAAGGCAUCUAUUAAAAACCUACAUGGGCCAGGGUGUGUGGCUCAGUGAUGGAGUUCUUGCCUAGCAUGAGAGAGGCCCUGGCUCACUCCUCAGCAACUCAAAACCAAAAAAACAACUACAGUACCCAAAGGGAUUUAAAGAAGGUUUCAGACACACUUGCACAUGUUCACAGCAGCACUGUUCACAGCAGCCAGUAGGUGGAAGUGGUCCAGGGUCCACCCACUGAGGAAUGGUGAGCACAUGUGGCAGAGCCAUGCAGAGGACAUCAUUCACCCGAAGAAGAAUGACACUCGAUAGGUGCUGCAGCAUGAGUGGACUUAAAACACGUCGAAGAUAAGAGCCAGACCCACAGUGGCAAACCUGGUAUGCUACCACUUACCUAUAACUGGAACAGACAAACUGAUACAGAAAGCAAGGUCAGGCAGAGUGAGAGGAGAGAGAGAUUGCUUAAUAGGUAUUGAGAUUUAGCUUUGGAAGAUGAAAGGGUUUUGGAAAUUUGGUGACAGUUGCAUAGCAUUGUGAAUGUAGUUAAUGCCACUGAAUGGUACUUAAAAAAUGGUUCAGUGGCCAAACUUAUGUUUAUAUUUUAUCACAAUUUAAACACACACACACACACACACACACACACCCCUCAUACUUACUAGCCAAAGACUGAAUGCUUUCCCCUAACAAGAGGAGCAGAGCUCGGACCUUCAGUUAUACCCGCUGUGCACAGCAUCACACUGGAAGUUGAAGCUGGAUCUCAAUCAUGAUAAGAGAUAAAAGUCACACACCUUGGAGAGGAGGUAUGCAGUGGUUUUUAUUCACAGACAGUAUGAUCUGCAGAAUACUACUGGAAGAGUAUUCUAUAUACUGAAUUUAUUACAAGAUACAGGACCAAUACAUUAAAAUUUUAUCAAUUUGUAUAUACUAGCAACAAGCUAUAGGAAACUGAUAUUUUAAAAAUACCAUUUACAGUAGCAUUGACAAGUAUGAUAUACUGAGAGAACUCUAACAAAAGAUGUGUAAGACCUCUAUGCUGAAAAGUACAAAACAUUACUGAAAGAAAUAAAUAAAUGGUGAAACAUACCAUGUUUAUGGAUCUGAAACUCAGUGUUGUUAAGACGUCAUUUCCAUCCAAAUUGAUCUAUAGAUUCAACCCUAAUCAAAAUUUAAUUUUUGAUUUUUUUAAUUUUAGAAAGUGACAUGCUGAACUGGGGGCAGUGGUACAUAACUAUCACCCCAGCUGCUUGGGAGGCUGAGGCAGGAGGAUUGAAAGUUUGAGCCCAGCUUGAGCAACUUAGCAAGACCCUGUGGGGAUGUAGCUCAGUGAUAAAGCAACCCUGGAUUCAAUCUCUGGUGCAACAAUAACAACAAAAAGACUGAUUCUAAAGUUCAUGGG